GAUGAAGAACGUAGCGAAAUGCGAUAAGUAGUGUGAAUUGCAGAAUUCAGUGAAUCAUCGAAUCUUUGAACGCACAUUGCGCCCUUUGGUAUUCCAAAGGGCAUGCCUGUUCGAGCGUCAUUUGUACCCUCAAGCUUUGCUUGGUGUUGGGCGUCUUGUCUCUAGCUUUGCUGGAGACUCGCCUUAAAGUAAUUGGCAGCCGGCCUACUGGUUUCGGAGCGCAGCACAAGUCGCACUCUCUAUCAGCAAAGGUCUAGCAUCCAUUAAGCCUUUUUUUUCAACUUUUGACCUCGGAUCAGGUAGGGAUACCCGCUGAACUUAAGCAUAUCAAUAAGCGGAGU
This 341-nucleotide unclassified non-coding RNA is filed under the name soil metagenome. RNAcentral describes it as "partial contains 5.8S ribosomal RNA, internal transcribed spacer 2, and large subunit ribosomal RNA". The stretch from base 1 to 120 matches the Rfam family "5.8S ribosomal RNA", at positions 35 to 154 of the family's 154-position model. The record is from RNAcentral.